AUGACUUGGAGAUGGACUCCCUUAAUUCUUUAGAAAAUCAUGCAUCAUAAAAUUGAGAGAAAUGCAACUUCAAAUGUUCAAUUUCAAGACAAAUUGGUGUUCCACAACUAGUAUUGGCAUGAUCUAAUAACAUCUAACUUUCUACGGAUAAUCAUGCAUAUAAAACUUGAGGCUGACUUAAAAUGUUAAAAAAAAAUUGUUUUUGAGGCUGACAUAAGUAAAGGAGUUGAAUUGUUUCUAUUUGUAUGUAUCCUUUAGAGUGCAAUAAUAUUCAUACAAGGGUCCCCCUCUCUUUCAUUACCAUCGAAAAUAGAUUCAUUCAAACGCUUUUUACUUGCAAUCGAUUCUCCAAUACAAAUGACGACAGCACCAUACUCCCCAAAGAAAUGACCAAUUUAGGAGGAUCUUUUUUACAUGAAAUUUUGAUAUUCACUUCAAAAUUAUCAUAUGGGUAAUUUUCACAAAAAAAAAAAAGGAUUUUAAAUAGGGUUGAGAAUGUGUCG
This 503-nucleotide long non-coding RNA is filed under the name Amborella trichopoda. RNAcentral describes it as "long non-coding RNA (ATRI_LNC003004)". The record is from RNAcentral. Lineage: Eukaryota; Viridiplantae; Streptophyta; Magnoliopsida; Amborellales; Amborellaceae.